Non-coding RNA from Paramormyrops kingsleyae, 4880 nucleotides. NCBI's taxonomy places the organism in Eukaryota, Metazoa, Chordata, Actinopteri, Osteoglossiformes, Mormyridae. The record is from RefSeq and is a predicted model, not a curated record.
GCUCUUUACCUGUCUGCCAGCGUUACUCUGCCCUUGGGUGGCAGUCAGGCAGUCUGUGAGGUGGACGCUCUUGACCUGUCUGCCAGCGUUACUCUGCCCUUGGGUGGCAUUCAGGCUGUCUGUGUGGUGGAUGCUCUUUACCUGUCUGCCAGCGUUACUCUGCCCUUGGAUGACAUUCAGGCUGUCUGUGUGGUGGACGCUCUUUACCUGUCUGCCAGCGUUACUCUGCCCUUGGGUGGCAUUCAGGCAGUCUGUGUGGUGGACGCUCUUCACCUGUCUGCCAGCAGGCUUCUCAUUUUUCUUGUUCAUUAUGCUCUGCACACCCAGCAGAUCUAGAAUAGCCACUAAUAUUAAUGAAUUUCUUUCAUAUUACUCAUUCAGUCUAUAGAUUAUUUUCCUUCCAAGUGAUUAUAAUGUUUAUCAGUCUGAUACUGAUUCUGUCCAGAGGAACAUUCCUAUAUUCUAUAGUUUUACUGACUGUUAUUUUCUCAUAGUCCCUACAGUGACUAAUUACACUGUAUAUUGGCCACGUUCCCUCUUAUUCACACACUGUAGCGUGUUGAGGCCUGGGAAAUUUUCCACCAUGGCUGAAGUGGACCUCAGUCCACUCACUGCUUCAUGUCUUUGCUUUUCGAGCAGUACGGAUAAUGCAGACUCCUUCGUGCGGGCGGAUGAUGAGACCUACGAGAACGACUCGGUGCGGCAGCUUGAGAACGAGCUGAAAAUGGAGGAGUUCCUCAAACAGAACCAGCAGGACAAGGCUUACAUGGUGUCAUUGCAGGAAUGAACAUAUUGUAUAAAUAAGUGAGCUCCGGCGCGACAGACAAAGCGAGCUCCGCAAGGACCGACAACAACGCCAGCUCCACCCACACCGGGAGGAGGGGCCUCUGGUCCAAUCAGAGCAGAGGCAGAACACGGGGCGACCACUGACGACACGGCCUUGCAACAAUGCCCACAAUUAGUGUCCCAGGACGGCUUCCAAAAGAUUGUAGUUAGUCACGUGUUUCGAAUGAGCAAACUAAAAUGCAUUUAUUUCUUUUUUUUUGUGUCUGCAGUGUCAUUCAUAAGCACUAUAAGGAUUUUAGAGUUUGGCCGAGGCUUGGAUUCCCAGCGUUAGUUUCUGACCUUAUCACUCAUUAACUGUCACUUACGUAACUACAGACAUAUUUUCCAUAUACAUUGUGUGACUAAUGCUUGGUUUAUAUUUCCGUUAAUGCUGUCAUGAUUUGGUUAUAUAAACUUUUUUAGCAGAGUAAAAUGCCACUUUUCAGACACAUACUUCCACUCAAAGACAUUCAGAAGCAGCCACCGGACUAUGCGUUGUACUACUGAAUGUGCACUUUCCGUUGAGAGCUUUUGGUUUUGCACCUAAGAUAGAUAGAGCUGUAAUUAAAGACCUGACUUGAAUUCAAAAUGAAAAAUCAGUUUUUAAUCAAAAUAUCGCAGCCAUAUUGUUUAUGUAAAUACAUAUAUACAUAUAUUUUUGCCUGAUAUUUCCAACAUCAAACUAGUGACACUGCUAAAUAAAUCCGUAAAUUAUUUAUGUAAAGAGUUAGUUUUUAAUCCACGACAUAUCAAAAUUAAAACUGUGAACCAAUUGAGGGAUUUUCAACAACAAAGCUGUCUACAAAUGCCACAGGUGCCAUACAGAUCUGAUUUGUACGAGAUGUCUCUGUUUAUUUCCCAUUAUGUUUUAUGGAUUAAUGCGUUUUAUUUUCAUGGUCAAAGCAUGUGUUGUAAAAGAGUUCUGUUUUUAGCCACGUGGCCUCCGGGUGUGUAUUGAGUAGAUUAAAGUGAGUUUUCUGAGGAUUUUUCAUUAUUGUUUUCUUUGAUUUUGAAUUUCACUGCGUGUGUGCUGACAGUGGGUUCUGGUGAAGCUUCAGCAAGGCAGGGCAGGAGAGCACGGGGCGGGGGUGGUGAGGGGGGGGCGAGCUGAGCGCCUCCGGCGUGACACGUCGUCCGUUCAGUACGCACUGCGCCAGUGGCAGGUGAAGACCAGUUAGUUAUGUCAGGUGAUCUGUGUGUCACUGCAUGAUUUUAGGAGGCCAGUGUUAAAGGUGUGGUGAAGCACAACAUCCCCUGGUGAAGCUGGUGUCCAGUGUUGUAACAUAAACACCAGUGCUGAUUCUCGCUCUGUAACAGCACAUCGAAUCACCUUUAUUAUGUAAAAUAUAAAAUACGCCCUAACCUUUAUCAGCCCUAAAACAAUAAUCUUUAUAUCUUAAAUACAGUUUUUAAUUUUUUUUUUAGUCUUUAUAGAGUCGUUAUGAGCAUGGUGAAAUGUUUUGAAUGUUGCCGGGAUAAACUGAAGAUGUUUGGCUUCAGAUUCAGUUUUUACUUUCUUUACGCAUCCAGAGCUUUAGUGUUGCGUGUUUCACACUGUGUGUGUUAAAUGGGUUAUAUUCUCACCAUAAAAAAACAGUCUGAUGGCACUGAUGUUAAACACUGAUGGGAAAGAGAUCCUGCGAUUUCAUUUCCCCUUUUCGGAGGAUUUGUAACGGCAGUAAUGCAAACACUUACCAAUAGAGGGCGCUGAGUUUGUCAGGUUGGACGUCUAUCAUAGACGUCUGUAGGCCAUGUGAUUGAUUUAAGUAUCUGACUACAAUCCACGGUCAAUUUGUUUCUCUUUGUUUGUUAUAUGUUUUUCUGUCUGAAAUUCCUGUCUGCCGUUUACUUGGCCAGAAAAUAAUGUGCCUGUAAAACUGUGUAAUUCUGCAAAUGUAAUAUGUCCAAAAUUAAGAUAAAAUGUCCAUAUUAUAUAAAUAAGUAGCACAUCUUUGUUUUUAGUUCAUAAUACGUUGUGCAAAUCAAUUUGCAUGACCUAUGCGGUUCUAUCCAUUUGUACAGAAGGAUAUUUAGUGAUGUAAUUCAGGUAAAGUAUGUUUCUGAAAGUUAGAUUAGCAGGGCCGUCCUGGGACUACAACUAGUGAACCCAGUUUCUUAACCACUAUGCCAUCUGCGGCCAUUCCCCAUCACAGAUAUUCUGCAAUCGUUUGAGCAGGCCUAAUCCGCAAGUCACCGUGUGAUAUUACAGCAGAACUUGUGGCUGCAGGAUGGACUGACCGAUCGUUGUGCUCUUUCGCAUUUCAGCCUUAAAAACACCGGUGCAGGAGAAGCGGUAAUGAACCUUAGAGCUACAGAUGUGACUCAGGACAAAGAACCUUGUACACAGGUCACUCAAGCCCCACAUCGCUACCCAAGGUGUCCAGUGGUCUCACUAUGGAUCCAGUGCAUCCAGUUGCCAAAGCUGCAUUUGAGUGGCAGUGCUCUAGGUUGUGUCAGCUGAAAGUUAGAACCGCAGCUAAACACUGGGGGGUGAAAUAAGCUUUUUUCAGUGCAGGAUAAUCAAAUUAUAUUAUAUACUGUAAUGUUUCUGGUGCAACAGCCACAAUAUUGAGGUUUGAAAGGAUUGCCGUUUGAAUACAGUCUCCAUCGCAGACUUCCAUUCACCCCUCCAUCCAUUUCCAAUUUGCUUUGCCUGGUCAGCAUCACCAGGAAGCCAAAUCCCAGGUGGCAUUAGGGCACAAGGCUGGGAUACAGCCUGGACGGGAUGCCAGUCCAUCCCGAGACAUCCCCCACAAAGAUGAUUUUUUUUUUUUUAACCCACGAAUCACAGCACAAGUAGGUUGAUGUUCAUCCGGGAGUGUCCGGCCUGUGAGGGGGGGUUAUGCCGCUGUCUGUACCAUCGCUGACGUUUCUGUCGUACAGUUCCAGCUUACGUUCUACUGUGCUAUAGAAAGUAACAGCACAGAAAUCACACAAAAGGUCUGCAACCUUUCGGACGUUUUUAAGUUCAACCUUUUAUGGAAGCUUUGCCAAAUACAAGUGUAGUUAAACCAUAUGACCUCUUUCAAAUUAUGUUGUUUUCCCUAAAAUUAAAACCUUAAAUAAUAACCUUUUUUUAUUUUGAUGCUAGUACUUUUUUUAUGCUUGUCCUGCUGUUUAUGACUUUUGCAUCACUCCAAACAUAUUUUUCCCCGGAAAGCUGUUUUUAUUUUAUUUUAUUUAUUUAUUUAUUUUUUUGAAUGAAGAAAAUGCUUUAUGCUUUAAUAGUUGUACAAAAUAAUUAUUUAUGUGACAAUUUAGGUUUGUUUGCCGUGAAUGAAAUUAAUAGAGCGGGAGGCCCAAAUGUGACGGGUUACGGAAUUAUUCAAAUGAACAUUUCAGUCACUUUUAGAUACUUGAGCAAUGAUUGUAUGCUGUCAAUGUUCAGAUCACUUUAGUAUGUAGAGAUGUUACCCACGUUAAGAACCUUUGUUUCUGUUGAGAAAUUUCAUGUAUUUUCUUAUUGCAUGGUUAAAGCCCAAUUCUGUCAACGGAAGCACAGGUGUGUUCCUUCUUUCCAGGGAUUGUAGCACCCCCUGGUGGUGACAAAGGGUAAACAGAUCGUACAAGGCCAGGUGGAGGUUAUCCCCCAAUUUAUUUGGCCUUCUGACAGGAUUUGUUCCCCAGAUCACAAGGCGUAUUUUCAGUGUUUUCCAAUUUAUACUGAUCACAGUGUUACUUUGUAAAUAAUGUAACAGUUAUUAAAGAUUAAAUACAAACUGAUUUAAAAUUCUUGGUGUGGCUGAUGCAGAGCUGCACGUACAGAAAGACACACCCCAUGUUAUGGGCACUGUAUUUUGAACCAAAAAUGUAAAAAUGGUCCAGCUGUCAAAAUUUAUCUGUAAAAAAAAAAAAAAAAAAAAGCUACUGUACUUCAUACCUUCAGAGGUAAUGUACUAAAACGAAAUCUCCAAAUAAACUCUUCUUUUUCUGUCUUUCAUUGGUAUUGUAAUAGAACUACUGAUGUCUGUUUUGUAUUGUUGUAUUUUUUUUGUCUGUGUUUGAAAUAAUGGGGACAUGUUACAUUUUGAAGUGAUUAAAAUAUUUAACCGUGA